AUUGAACGCUGGCGGCAUGCUUUACACAUGCAAGUCGAACGGCAGCGCGGGCUUCGGCCUGGCGGCGAGUGGCGAACGGGUGAGUAAUGCAUUGGAACGUGCCCAGUAGUGGGGGAUAGCCCGGCGAAAGCCGGAUUAAUACCGCAUACGACCUGAGGGUGAAAGCGGGGGACCGAAAGGCCUCGCGCUAUUGGAGCGGCCGAUGUCGGAUUAGCUAGUUGGUGGGGUAAAGGCUUACCAAGGCGACGAUCCGUAGCUGGUCUGAGAGGACGACCAGCCACACUGGAACUGAGACACGGCCCAGACUCCUACGGGAGGCAGCAGUGGGGAAUUUUGGACAAUGGGGGCAACCCUGAUCCAGCCAUGCCGCGUGCGGGAAGAAGGCCUUCGGGUUGUAAACCGCUUUUGUUCGGGAAGAAAUCCUCUGGGCUAAUACCCCGGGGUGAUGACGGUACCGGAAGAAUAAGCACCGGCUAACUACGUG
RNAcentral lists this ribosomal RNA (484 nucleotides) under uncultured bacterium. RNAcentral's name for it is "partial 16S ribosomal RNA". It matches the Rfam family "Bacterial small subunit ribosomal RNA", at positions 29 to 507 of the family's 1533-position model. The record is from RNAcentral.